Molecule: long non-coding RNA, 485 nt
Organism: Papaver somniferum (opium poppy)
Lineage: Eukaryota; Viridiplantae; Streptophyta; Magnoliopsida; Ranunculales; Papaveraceae
Exons: 4
Source: RefSeq, a predicted model, not a curated record
GAGCACAAGCCCAGCAUCAUUCAUCCGACGCCGCUUCACUACUCCGCUCCGAUAUAGGGGAAAGCAUGGUUGAAAGGCCCUACUCCUCUAUUUUGAAUACACGGCUAGGGUAUAGUACCUACAUUUUUUGCUCGAUCAUGCACCUGUUGCAAUCGGCAUAGUCGAGCAGCAUCAAGGGAUUGGUGAAUGAGUGGAAGAAGACAAUAGAUAAUGAAUUUUAGUGAUUGUUUGCACUUGCAUUGUGAAUAUAUGUGGAUGAUGUGGAGCUAUUUUUUUCCAUCGGCGGGCCUUAGCCUAGGAGGCUGCUUCGAAUGUUGUUUUUCUCUUUAAUAAGAUGAUGAUGAGAGAAGUUUACUUCUUCUUUGAUUAAUAAGAGACUUGGACCUUUGAUGAACAUGAACUAAUACUGGUUUGUCAAGAACACUCUGCUCAUAUACCUUGGUGUGCAAAUAAGAAAACACUUAAUGUCUCAAACUUUAUUUAAC